GACGAACGCUGGCGGCGUGCUUAACACAUGCAAGUCGAACGGUGAAGGGGUCUGCUUUUGUGGGCCCUGGAUGAGUGGCGAACGGGUGAGUAACACGUGAGUAACCUGCCCCCUUCUUCUGGAUAACCGCAUGAAAGUGUGGCUAAUACGGGAUAUUCUGGGUCUGUCGCAUGAUGGGUCUGGGAAAGAUUGCGCCUUUGGGUGUUUUUGGUGGGGGAUGGGCUCGCGGCCUAUCAGCUUGUUGGUGGGGUGAUGGCCUACCAAGGCGGUGACGGGUAGCCGGCCUGAGAGGGUGGACGGUCACACUGGGACUGAGACACGGCCCAGACUCCUACGGGAGGCAGCAGUGGGGAAUAUUGCACAAUGGGCGCAAGCCUGAUGCAGCGACGCCGCGUGAGGGAUGGAGGCCUUCGGGUGGUAAACCUCUUCGCCAGUGAAGCAGGCCUGCUCCCUGUGGGUGGGUUGACGGUAGCUGGAUAAGAAGCGCCGGCUAACUACGUG
This 501-nucleotide ribosomal RNA is filed under the name uncultured bacterium. RNAcentral's name for it is "partial 16S ribosomal RNA". It matches the Rfam family "Bacterial small subunit ribosomal RNA", at positions 28 to 507 of the family's 1533-position model. The record is from RNAcentral.